CUCGAGAAUGGGAGGGCUGGCAAAGCUGUAGCCAUGUGACCGCAUGGCUAUAGCCUAUGUGGUCGCAUGGUUGAUAUUUGUGAUUGUUGUGAGCCAUUUUUGACCUUUUUUAUUUGAAAUUAGUGGCUUUUCAUUCUUGUUUUGCACCAUUUCAUGAAAAACUUGCCAAUGCCUAUAAAUAGGUGAUCCAAGUGCAAGAAAGACAUAUUGAGUUCUAUUGAAAUUUAUCCCCCAAAUUAUACUUCUAAUAUUGAGAAAAUUUAUCACAUAAUUCUUCAAUUUUUCACUUGUUCAUUGUGAAGAUACACCUUUGCUUUUUUGUGUUUUUCUUAUCAAGGUUUGUUUAAUCCUACAAAUUAUUUGCCGAAAAUCCUUAAAAAGUAUUGGAAAUGAGGCAAAUAACGUUUGAGGACAGUUAAAUUAAUUUCGUGUUUAAGCCUUCGUUGAUGUACUUUUAUAAUUUUCUUCUCUAUUGCCAUUAUUUUUUCAACAUUUCAUUUGAAGCUUCUGCAGUGAGGAGUGUGAACGUUAUUACUAAUAUCCAAGUAUUCACCUCCAGAAUUCAAUGAUUCAUCUAAAUCUAAUUUCAGGUAAAGACUCGUGUUAGUGUUCAUGCUAUCUUGAACAAGAUAAACAUAAGUAAAAGUGGUCAGUUUUCUGCCCGUGAUAUUCAAAAGUUCAUGAGAGAAAUUCUGUUUCAUUUGAAGCUUCUGUAGCGAAGAUGGUGAAUAUUUCUACUGAUUGUCUUAAUUACCAGAGGGCUGGACACUAAAGUUGAU
This 779-nucleotide long non-coding RNA is filed under the name Olea europaea subsp. europaea. Lineage: Eukaryota; Viridiplantae; Streptophyta; Magnoliopsida; Lamiales; Oleaceae. The record is from RNAcentral.